GGGAGACACCGGGAGACCAGGCGCCCCGACCCAUCGGCUGGUCUUGAGGAGAAGCAGGACCGCCCCAGACUGUCGCCGCGGCCGGCAGGGCCGGGCGCUCCGCGGGGAAUCUGGGCCGCGGUGCCCUGUGCCCCACUCCGGCAGGACUGGGCUUCCCCGGCUCUUCGAGGGAAGACCGCACAGAGAAGACCCUGGGCACCCCUGUGGCGGGCCGGACCCCGGGAAAGUAGGGCCCCUGCUGCCCCGCGCACUUGGUGGCCAAACACCUCCGGAGCCUGAGGUCUUGGGCCUCCUCUGGCUCUGCGUCCGGGGUUCUCUUCUCUCCCCCAAGGGUUGGCCUUUGGGUCAAUCGUCCAGACCCAAGCCAAGCUUGUGUUGGGCAAGGGAGGAAUUCCUGGAAAAGGAAAAAGCCCCUGCCACCCUCCGCCCUUCAUUCAUCUUCCCUGCCACCCACUCUCUCCUUUUCCCUGCUCCUACCCCAACCCUGACCCUCAAGGCCUACCUGGCCAAAGACAACAGCUGCGUUAGUCGCUAGGCCUUGGUGGGACUGAAGGCGGAGGAGCCUGGGCAUCUGCUGGGGGAAGGCCGCACUAGACUGCAAGUCCUGGGUAGAAGCCCUCCCCAUCUUGGGCCAGCUCUCUUCUGAGAGCCUCAGUUUCCCUCUCUAUGAUGCCAAGGGCUUGACUUUGGUGACUUCUGGACAGCCCCGGCAUGGUGUCCUGGAGGUGAGCUACAACCUGAAACCCACCUCCUGCUGCCCAUCCCUCCUCCAGCCUCCUCUGGCUGACGUCUGCCAUGGGUCCGAGAGGAACUGCUCCUGCUUCCUCAGUGUUCUGAGGCUCCUGGCCUGCCUGCCUGCCUGCCCAUCUGUCUGGAGCUGUGGGUAAGAGCGGGCCCACCAUUGAGGCAGGGGCAGAAAAGAGCCUCUCUGCUUUAUUUGCUGUGUUUUCUGGAGAAUCUUCCUUGGGGAAACUAAAUGAAGGGAAAAGCAGGAGAGGAGCCACCAGAUAGCAUCCAGGAGGAGAGAACAAUGCAUUCACCAGCAGGUCCUUUAUUCGUUUAUACAGAAUGUCUGUGUCCAAAUAUAUACCAUUUUUCUGUG
Molecule: long non-coding RNA, 1102 nt
Filed under: Homo sapiens (human)
Lineage: Eukaryota; Metazoa; Chordata; Mammalia; Primates; Hominidae
Description: FOXC1 upstream transcript
Source: RNAcentral